UGGACUGGAUGAUAACGUUAUGGACUCCAGAAGAUCUGGGUGACGACAGGGCUGGAUGACAGCAAGGUCGCCAUGGUGACCAGAUCCUGCUAUGCAACCAGAGAGCAGUCAGCUGAUGGAGUUUCACCAUACGACCUCAUCGUUGGCAGAUGUGGCAAAGACUCGACGGUGGAGGGGGAGGAAAGCGACGAGGGAACGUCCAACUCCUUCUCUUUCAGCGUGUUCCAGUUCUCCAGGAAGGAUGGCGAGAUCUAGCUGAAGUGUGAAGUGGAGCUGCGCCUCACAGAGGAGCAAAGCUGCUCUCAUAGCUGUAACGAUGGAGGCAAAAGGAGGUGCAGAUCCUUCAGGUCUAGAUAUGAUAGAAACUCGGCCCUCAUCACGAUGUCCUGGAAUAAUUAAAGACAGCUCCCCUUCUGAUGGAUUACACGGUGAUUCCUCACUUGAGCUUCGUCCCAACAAGGAGCCUGAA
Long non-coding RNA from Epinephelus moara (kelp grouper), 469 nucleotides. RefSeq lists it as uncharacterized. The record is from RefSeq and is a predicted model, not a curated record. The transcript has 4 exons. NCBI's taxonomy places the organism in Eukaryota, Metazoa, Chordata, Actinopteri, Perciformes, Serranidae.